AGCAGGUGGCAGCCAGGACUUCCAGGUCUCAAAGGGUCCUUCAAAAAAGUCUUAGAAUCCUCGCUCCUCAGCUGAGGAAGGAGGAAAAGCCUUGUAUCGGGCAAGUCAAAAUCCUAGCCUUCUAGCCAGGCCUCGGUUUUAGCUGGUUUGAAAUAAACUUAAGAAAAAGAAGCUUUCAGAAUACCUCAAGAGACUUACUGGUGAGCCAAAGGGUUAUUUGGCUGCCUUUUAAUUUUCUACUCUAUGUUACUCAGCAUUUAGUAUUAGUACAUGAGCUGAGCCAAAUGCUUGCGAAAUUUCUUCUCUCUUAACAUGUCUGAGCAGACUUGACCCUCCCCCGGCUGAGGAGGCUGACUCAGUGUUUUGCUUGGGACCAGACAUCUGCUUCAAAGCAUAUGAGAGGCAGGGGCCUUUGGGCUCCAGGAGGGAAGAAACUGUCUCUUGUUCGUCUUUGUAUUCUUGGAACUCCGGCACACAGCUAGGAAUCCUGACCGAAUCCUGAAAAUAGCAGAGUGAUUGAAGUGUAGGACAUCCACUUCUAUACCUGCUGGGAAAGGGCACAAAGCAACCCAAGCUGGGCAUAUGGUCCACAGUCUGGUGCAGAUGCAUGUGGCCAUGACUAUGGGCUCUUCAAUGGAAUGUGGGCAGAAAUGAUAUGCACCAUUUCCAGGCCUGAUCCAGAAGCUUCCCAGGAGCGUCCCUCCAUGCUCUGCCUAGGGUGAUGGCAAUCAACGCAGCCAUGGAAGCCACAUGUUCAAGAUGGCAGAGCCCCAUGAGCCAGGAUCCUGAAUGACCAUGCAAGCAACCUGGAAUAUUUACCCUGGGUAGUUAAGAACCAGGCUGCGAGUCUUCAGCGGCAAGGGGUCUUCCCCCUAACUCCCUCGGGGGCCCGCGGUGCCAGUCUUUAAGGACCUUUGCAGCUCGGAGUCAGACAGACGGCCCACAAGAGGGCGAUCUAGAACCAGUCAGCAACCAGAUGUAUAAACGUAGAAAUGGCUGUAAAGACGAACAGCAUCCUGGGAAGCUUGGCCGGAUUGAAGGAGGACCAGGGAUGGUCGGAGGCUCCCGUCCACCCUCGGGCGAAGGCGGGGUGCUUUCCACACGCUCAGAAAUCUCCCAAGACACAUCACAGGACGCAGUGAUAAACUGAACGGUGUUUAAAAAAUGCAAUUGGAUGAGGUGUUUGCAGAGUAAAGAGCACACGGCAGGCAGAGAAAAAGAGACAACAGAGGGCAGGCAGACAUGGGGGGACGGAGGGUACCCUCGGGAACCUUGGCCAGGGGCUCGGGUCUGCUCCCUGGAACAGCACGGAAAACCAGGACUCUCGCCGCUUAUCGGUGGAACACAGAGAAAUCCUCAAUAGCUAUUCCUAUCACCGCAGUUGGAAACGAUACAACAGAAUGGCUGGCUGUCUUACGGCUGUUCUUUAAAUUUGCCAUUAGGAGCACCCUCUCAAAGAUUUAAACUGUGAAUGGUCAACUCAACAACAAAAAAUCAAACAACCCCAUCAAACAAUGGGCUGGAGACAUGAACAGACAUUUCUCCAAAGAAGAUAUACGGAUGGCCAAUAGGCACAUGAAAAGAUGCUCAUCAUCGCUGAUCAUCAGGGAAAUGCAAAUCAAAACUACGCUAAGAUAUCACCUUACACCCAUUAGAAUGACAAAAAUAUCUAAAACUAAUAGUAGCAAAUGUUGGAGAGGUUGUGGAGAAAAAGGAACCCUCAUACACUGCUGGUAGGAAUGCAUACUGGUGCAGCCACUAUGGAAAACAGUAUGGAGAUUCCUCAAAAAAUUAAAAAUAGAAAUACCAUAUGACCCAGCUAUUCCACUACUGGGUAUCUAUCCACAGAGCUUGAAGUCAGCAAUUCCAAAA
This is a long non-coding RNA of Equus caballus (horse), 1872 nucleotides long. Lineage: Eukaryota; Metazoa; Chordata; Mammalia; Perissodactyla; Equidae. The record is from Ensembl.